This 468-nucleotide long non-coding RNA is filed under the name Portunus trituberculatus (swimming crab). Its description in RNAcentral is "uncharacterized LOC123504999, transcript variant X1". Lineage: Eukaryota; Metazoa; Arthropoda; Malacostraca; Decapoda; Portunidae. The record is from RNAcentral.
UUAAUGAGGAGAUACGUAAAGACAACACAAAUGAACUGUUUCGGUUUUCUCUGAUGAAUUCCGAGGCCCGGCUAGUGAUGGCCAGGCCGUGCUGAGGGUAGGAUGUGGGAGUGACUCCGAAUUUGGCCCCUGCUGUACUACUAAGGUUGUACGUGGCCGGUGAUGGUCAAGAAACGCCACUGGCCCUACACAAGCCACGCAGAGCUUUGACGUCACAUGUGCCCCUGGAGCCUUGCCUUGCCUGACACAUCUUCCUACUAAAGUAUCAGUGCUGCUCCUCUUCGCCGCCGCUAUACCAAGCCUCACCUUGCUCUACAUGCACUGAACGCAAAGCAGUUACAUCCCUAAAGCUGCUGGCAGGUGUGAAGAGACCUCUACUAACAAACAUUGAAACCUACCUAUUGCUGCACCCAACAUCUCUGAGAUCCACCAUUACUCUUGGCGAGAGCUUCUGGUCUUCGAAUUCCC